This is a long non-coding RNA of Fukomys damarensis (Damara mole-rat), 2081 nucleotides long. RefSeq lists it as uncharacterized. The transcript has 3 exons. Lineage: Eukaryota; Metazoa; Chordata; Mammalia; Rodentia; Bathyergidae. The record is from RefSeq and is a predicted model, not a curated record.
GUGGUGUUAGCCUGAGCUGGGGUAGAGUUGAAAGAGGUAGGUAGUAUUAAGGGAUUGGAGAAGCCUGUUACAUCGCUAGGCGGGGCUUGUGACAUCACUAGUUGCUAGGAGGUAGCAAGUAUCUGAUUACAUUUCUUGGUGGGAAGAGGGGCAUGUUGGGAAGAUGAAGACUGUCUUUUGCACUUCCACAGAAGCUACUUUGGAGGAAAAAUGGGAGGAUGGACAAUCAGGCCUGGCUCAAGACCACUCGAGUCUGUCCCUAAUUGUUUUAUAAACAAUUCAUCUUAGAAGCAUGGACAUUACUAUAAAUAAACAGAGCUACCCCUACCUGCCGAGCAAAGGUAUGGUCAUAUCUGUGUGUGAUGCCUGGAAGUGCUGCAGCCAAAUUGCGACAACAGGAAGAUGAAGCCAGUACUAAGCUCUGUCAAGCAAAGGGAGUAGAAACAGCUACUGAGCCUGUGACUUGACCAGCCAUAAAAUCUGUGUUGCUUUAUGAUUCUCCAUGGGAGAUGAUGAAUGUGUCUACUUUUAAGCAAUUUGAAGCUUGAGUUUUGGUGGCUUCCAGCUGAAAGAAGUUAUCCCAAUGUGAACCAUCCAAAGAAUAGGAAAUAAUCCUUGAAAAAUCUUGCAGAUACCAAAGAGCAUUGUACUUUCUCAGAACUGAGAGAUGAUGAUUUUUUUCACAUGUGUUUUCUGUGCCUUGUACCAAACAAGGUUCUAAUUUGUGCAUCCAGGUUCCUGAUAAGGGAGCCAAGAUUUGAAAUCUGUUCUCUGUAAUAUCAGUCCCUGACCUUAAUCGACAUGUCAUAUGAUCUCUUCAGCUAAGCAACCUUUCCCUGUGUCUGAGUCAUUAGAAACGUCUCUAGGCAAGAUCUUCAAAGGGCCACAAGUUUGAAAAUAAGGUUGUAUGUGUCAGGAGUGUUGAGUCCCAUAUGUUUGCAAAGCAGUUUUCAUUUUACUUCUUCUAAAUUUAAUUUCUCUUUAUGAACCUUUCUUUUUUCUAUCCCUGUGCAGCAGGAGCCACAGGAAGUAGGAAGAGUAGGGCCAUGCAAAAGGCUAGAAAACCAGGCAGUCAAUCAUACCAGAAUCCCAUAAACUGAUCCUGAAGAUGGGAAGAGAUUAUUUCCUUAACAGUAAGUUAGUCAUUCCCAGGCAAGGCAUUUUUUACCACUGAAGGCCCAUUGUGCUUCUGGAGUGAGUUCAUCACAUAAAUGUGGCACCCAGAGGAUCAUCAACAGAGUGCUGAGGAAAGAAAACAGCCUGGCUGUUGAUGCCCUGCAAAUGUGACACCAAGAUCUGCAGAAUCUCCUCUAAACUCAUUAGCACAGCACUUCUCCCAGAAGCAGCUACACUACAGGGCCAAAACUAGUCAGAUUCUAACUGGGGAAAGCUAAUAUCUUCAAUAUGCUCCAGGAUCCAACAUCGCCCCCUUCAAAAUUUUUGCACAUGCUCUUCCAUUGACAUAAAUGCUUGUCUCUCCCUUAAGCCUUGAAAACUCCUGGUCAUCCUUAAAGAGCCAGCUCAGAUGUCACUUCCCUGUGAAGCAUCCUCCAUUUUUCCCAUGGAUGAGGCAGUUGCUUGCUCCUUGGGGCCUUCCCAGAACUUUGCAAAGGCCUUUCCUGCACAACUUUUUCUGUGACAUGUAAAGUGACAUUGUAGUUCUUUGUCUUAGCAGCUGAUUCUGCUCUAGAUUAUGAAGUCCUUUAGGGGAAUGACAUGGGCCAUUCACCUCUAUAAUCCACAGUGCAGGACACUCGAUAUGUUCUCAGUAAAUAGUGUGAAGAAUGAACAUACAUGAGUGUGACAGAGAGAGAAUGAAAUUGGGUGAGUGAGUGCUCUGCCUGAGCAGAGUGAACACAGCAGCAUUGGGUGUUGAAAGAUGUGAACAAGAGCCCAUGUUGGCUGUGGAAGGGAUGAAUAGUGGAUGGAUGAGUGAGCGAAGGAUCCAUGGAAGACAGCUCAAAAGUCUUGUCUUCUGAAAUUUGAAUAGUUUCAUUCCUUUGCUCCUGGGCUGGAGCACCCAUUCCUCACCUGUCACUGCAUGGUUUAGCACAAUAAAGGUGAAGCCAAGUUCUUUCUUU